CUGGCUCAGGAUGAACGCUGGCGGCGUGCCUAAUACAUGCAAGUCGAACGAGGUGGAUGGGAGCUUGCUCCCUGAUACCGAGUGGCGAACGGGUGAGUAACACGUAGGUAACCUGCCCUUAAGCUUGGGGUACCCAGAGGAAACUUUGGCUAAUACCGGAUAACAACAGAGGAGGCAUCUCCUUUGCUUGAAAGGCCCUGCAAGGGGUCACUUAAGGAUGGACCUGCGGCGCAUUAGCUAGUUGGUGAGAUAAAAGCCCACCAAGGCGAGGAUGCGUAGCCGACCUGAGAGGGUGAUCGGCCACAUUGGAACUGAGACACGGUCCAAACUCCUACGGGAGGCAGCAGUAAGGAGUUUUCGGCAAUGGGGGAAACCCUGACCGAGCAAACCGCCGCGUGAGUGAAGAAGGCCUUCGGGCCGUAAAGCUCUGUUGCCGGGGAAGAGUGCCGGAGGGGGACCUCCGGAGGGACGGUACCCGGCGAGGAAGCCGCGGCUAACUACGUGCCAGCCGCUGC
RNAcentral lists this ribosomal RNA (515 nucleotides) under uncultured bacterium. RNAcentral describes it as "bacterial SSU rRNA". It matches the Rfam family "Bacterial small subunit ribosomal RNA", at positions 19 to 518 of the family's 1533-position model. The record is from RNAcentral.